AAUGAACGCUGGCGGCAUGCCUUACACAUGCAAGUCGAACGGCAGCAUGACCUAGCUUGCUAGGUUGAUGGCGAGUGGCGAACGGGUGAGUAAUGCAUCGGAACGUUCCUUUUAGUGGGGGAUAACGUAGCGAAAGUUACGCUAAUACCGCAUAUUCUCUGAGGAGGAAAGCAGGGGACCUUCGGGCCUUGCGCUAGAAGAGCGGCCGAUGUCGGAUUAGCUAGUUGGUGAGGUAAAGGCUCACCAAGGCAACGAUCCGUAGCGGGUCUGAGAGGAUGAUCCGCCACACUGGGACUGAGACACGGCCCAGACUCCUACGGGAGGCAGCAAUGGGGAAUUUUGGACAAUGGGCGCAAGCCUGAUCCAGCCAUGCCGCGUGAGUGAAGAAGGCCUUCGGGUUGUAAAGCUCUUUCGGCUGGGAAGAAAUCGCACCCUCUAAUACAGGGUGUGGAUGACGGUACCAGCAUAAGAAGCACCGGCUAACUACGUG
This 490-nucleotide ribosomal RNA is filed under the name uncultured bacterium. Its description in RNAcentral is "partial 16S ribosomal RNA". It matches the Rfam family "Bacterial small subunit ribosomal RNA", at positions 29 to 507 of the family's 1533-position model. The record is from RNAcentral.